This 202-nucleotide ribosomal RNA is filed under the name uncultured bacterium. Its description in RNAcentral is "partial 16S ribosomal RNA". It matches the Rfam family "Bacterial small subunit ribosomal RNA", at positions 524 to 725 of the family's 1533-position model. The record is from RNAcentral.
UACGUAGGUGGCAAGCGUUGUCCGGAAUUAUUGGGCGUAAAGCGCGCGCUAGGUGGUUCUUUAAGUCUGAUAGUCGAAAGCCCACGGCUCAACCGUGAGGUCAUUGGAAACUGGGAACUUGAGUGCAGAAGAGGAAAGUGGAAUUCCAAGUGUAGCGGUGAAAUGCGUAGAGAUUUGGAGGAACACCAGUGGCGAAGGCGAC